UACGGAGGGUGCAAGCGUUGUUCGGAAUCACUGGGCGUAAAGGGCGUGUAGGCGGUCUGUUAAGUCUGAUGUGAAAUCCCCUCGCUCAACGAGGGAACUGCGUCGGAUACUGACAGACUCGAGUACCGGAGAGGAAGGUGGAAUUCCCGGUGUAGCGGUGAAAUGCGUAGAUAUCGGAAGGAACACCGGUGGCGAAGGCGGCCUUCUGGACGGAUACUGACGCUGAGACGCGUAAGCGUGGGGAGCAAACAGG
This 253-nucleotide ribosomal RNA is filed under the name uncultured prokaryote. RNAcentral's name for it is "partial 16S ribosomal RNA". It matches the Rfam family "Bacterial small subunit ribosomal RNA", at positions 524 to 776 of the family's 1533-position model. The record is from RNAcentral.